RNAcentral lists this long non-coding RNA (4977 nucleotides) under Triticum aestivum (bread wheat). RNAcentral's name for it is "long non-coding RNA (TAES_LNC008993)". Lineage: Eukaryota; Viridiplantae; Streptophyta; Magnoliopsida; Poales; Poaceae. The record is from RNAcentral.
CGACGGCCAUGUUCGCGCGACGCCAGUCGGGAGGACCAGUGCGCCGCGGCGCACCGUGCAAUCGGAUGCCCCCGCUCCGUCACCUCGGUCUGGGAGGACGAAUUUGCGUCUCGCCGUGCGCUGGACGCUGAGCCGCGAGCCGCCGAUGCGCGCGUUGCGCUGAGGCCGCCGCUUCCACGACCUGCUUACGGUAGCGCUCCAUGCGAUGGGUCGCCGUCCCGAUCAGCAACAACCAAGACUAGUAUACGCAAUGGUUAGUUCAUUCGUUCAAAACUGUUAAUGUAUAACUUUGUAUAGAUCUCGCGUAUUCCGUUUGCAUACGGUUGUACAUAUACGCGUAUAGGGUUUAUUUCUUGGUCUCCAAGACUUGUAACACCACUAUAAAUAUAUGAGUCGAUCGCCCCUUGAGAGGCGUCUUUUCCUCAAACUAUUUCACGUUUACAUGGUAUCAGACCUACAUCCUAGAACCUAGCUUCCGCCGCCACCGAAACCCUAAGCCGCCGCCGCCAUCCUCCAUCCGCGCCGCCGCAGCUCCUCCUUCCCCCCAGGCCGCCGCCAUGUCGACCUCCCCCUCCACUUCCCCUGCACUCGGGGUCUCCACCUCAUCCACGCUCCAGACGCAGACCGCCGAGGCCAUGACCUCAUCCGUUGCAUCGCCGGUGUCCCAGGCAGUCCAUGUCGCCAGCGUCAAGACGCAUGUCCCCGUCGCCCUCGACCUUCAGAAGUCCAACUAUGCCAAGUGGCGUAUGCUCAUCACCGUCCUCCUCGGCAAGUACGACCUCACCGGCCACAUCUCCGUCGUCACGCCGCCGGAUGACCGUUCGGCGGACUGGCAGCGUCAGGACUUCGUCGUGCGCUCGUGGAUCUACGGCUCCAUCAGCGAGGACAUCCUCGACACAAUCAUGGCUCAAGAUCAGACCGCGUACGAGGCCUACGCGCUGAUCCGGAACCUCUUCCUCGACAAUCAGCUCACUCGCGCCGUCUACCUCGAGGCGGAGUUCCGGGCCCUCGUCCAAGGCGACCUCACCAUCACCGCCUACUGCCAUCGCCUGAAGGCGCUCUCCGACGCGCUCGCGGACGUGGGGCAACCCGUGACCGACCAAACCCUGGUCCUCACCUGCCUCCGGGGGCUCAACACCUGCUUCUCCGACAUCACCACCCUCGUCACGAUGCAGGUUCCGGCCCCCACCUUCCUGCAGACCCGCUCCAUCCUCCUCCUCCGCGAGAAUCAGCUCGCCAACGCCGCUCCGGGCGGCCCACUGCCAUCCCAAGUCGCCCUCUACGACAACACCACCGGCUCCUCCAGCGGUGGCAAUUCCGGUGGCAAUGGCGGCCAAGGUGGCCGCUGGUCGAGGAAGAAGAAGAACGGAGGCGGGAGCGGCGCCAACUCCAACCAUGCCAACCCUGCCGCCGCGCCCGGUCCGUGGAUCUGCUUCAACCCCUACACUGGGCAGACACAGCAGAUGCAGCCCACCUGGCGCCCAUACGGCGCUCCGGCUGCUGCCACCGGGGGCGCCGGCCUCCUCGGGCCAGCCCCGCGGUCCACCGCCCCGGCACCACCAUCCCGUCAGUCCACCUGGGUGCCCCCGGGCCAGGUCGCCUACACGACCCAGCUGGCUCCCCUGCAUGGCCAGGCGUGGGGCACCAACCCGCCUCCACCCGCAGUGCCCUACCAUCCUCCGGCUCCUGCAUGGGACUGCUCCGCCCUCGUCGCCGCCCUCAACGCCACCACUGGGUCUUCUGCCGCUGGCCCCUCCACGCCGGGUGCCUGGGUGAUGGACUCCGGCGCCACCUCGCACAUGGUCUCCGGCCACGGUAUACACCUCCGCAUGUCCUGCCCAUACACUUCCCCUCAAAACGGCAAGGCCGAACGAGCACUUCGCACGCUCAACGACAUUACCCGCACCUUGCUGUUCCAAGCUUAUAUGCCCCCUGCGUACUGGGCCGAGGCCCUUGCCGUCGCAACCUUCUUACUAAACCGUCGCCCAAGCCAAGCCUUGAACUUCCGGAUCCCGUAUACCCUCCUCUACCAAAAACCCCCCUCCCUCUCCGACUUACGAGUCUUCGGGUGCCUAUGCUACCCCAACCAGUCCGCCACAGCACCUCAUAAACUCGCCCCUCGCUCCACCGCAUGCGUAUUUCUUGGGUACCCUGCAUCGCAUCGCGGUUAUCGGUGCCUCGACUUAACGACACGCCACAUCAUCAUCUCACGACAUGUCGUUUUUGACGAACAUACCUUCCCUUUCGCCACCACUCGCACCGCUCAGUCUCCGGACGAUCUCGAUUUUCUUCUCGACCUGGUCGCCACGCAGCCAGCUCCUACGGUCGUCACGGCUGCGUCACCAUCCCCAUCCCCCUCUCCACCACCACCCCCUCCGCCUUCUCGACGCUCUCGCGACAGCAACGCCUCCACCACCAACACUCACACCAUGCUCACUCGCACCAAGCGUGGUAUUUUUCAGCCCAUUAAUAAACUUAAUCUAUCAGCUGAACAUUCCUCUCUCUCUCCUAUUCCCAAAACAUAUCGCUCUGCUCUCCAGGAUCCCCUUUGGCGUGCUGCCAUGACUGAGGAGUACGAUGCAAUUCUUCAGAACCGCACUUGGACUCUUGUCCCUCGACCGGUUGGUGCUAACAUUGUUUCAGGAAAGUGGAUAUUCAAGCACAAGUUUGGUGCUGACGGUGCUCUCGCUCGGUACAAGGCACGGUGGGUGGUCCGUGGAUUCUCGCAGCAGCCGGGCAUUGACUACGACGAGACCUUCAGUCCCGUCGUCAAGCCGGCCACGAUCCGCGUCGUGCUCAGCAUCGCCGUCUCACAUGCUUGGCCGGUUCAUCAGCUGGACGUCAAGAAUGCCUUCCUCCAUGGCGAUCUUGACGAGGUGGUCCACUGUGAGCAGCCACCUGGCUUCGUCGACCCUACACGUCCUCACCAUGUCUGCCUGCUCCACAAGUCACUCUAUGGGCUCAAGCAGGCGCCCCGCGCCUGGUACCAGCGGUUCACUCAUCACGCUCAUCGACUGGGCUUUGUGGCUUCUCAGAGCGACGUGUCUCUGUUCGUGCUUCGGCACGGCUCUGAGAUGGCCUACCUGCUCCUCUACGUGGACGACAUCAUCCUCACCGCAUCCAGCGCCGCGCUUCUCCAGCACAUCACCGACCGGCUUCAUCAGGAGUUCUCCAUGACCGAUCUCGGGGACCUGACUUACUUCCUCGGGAUCUCGGUCUCUCGGUCCUCUUCCGGCAUGCUUCUCUUGCAGCGGCAGUAUGCCAUCGAUCUCCUUCAGCGCGCUGGCAUGAUGGAUUGCAACCCGUGUGUCACGCCUAUUGACACCCGUUGCAAGCUCUCCGCCGACGAGGGUCCUCUUAUUCCCAACGCCACGGAGUACCGGAGUUUUGCCGGGGCUCUUCAGUACCUGACGCUCACUCGCCCUGGCAUUGCACAUGCUGUUCAGCAAGCGUGCCUCUACAUGCACGCUCCCAGGGAACCUCAUCUCAACCUCGUUAAGCGGAUUCUUCGCUAUGUUCGUGGCACCCUCGACCUCGGUCUACAGCUUCACUCCACACCGGCCACCUCGCUCACCGCCUACUCUGACGCGGAUUGGGCCGGAUGCCCCGACACACGACGAUCUACCUCUGGAUACUGUGUCUACCUCGGUGAUAACCUGGUGUCUUGGUCCUCCAAACGCCAGGCCACGGUGUCUCGCUCCAGUGCCGAGGCCGAGUAUCGAGCCGUGGCCCAUGUCGUGGCUGAGUGUUGCUGGCUUCGUCAACUACUCCUCGAGCUUCAUCGUCCGCUAUCAUCCGCCACCGUUGUCUUCUGUGAUAACGUCAGUGCUGUUUACAUGGCCUGUAACCCGGUCCAGCAUCGCCGCACGAAGCACAUCAAGAUUGACAUCCACUUCGUCCGCGAGAAGGUGUCUCUCGGUCAGAUCCGGGUUCUCCAUGUGCCAUCCUCACAGCAGUUUGCCGAUAUCAUGACGAAGGGCCUACCGACUCAGCUCUUCUUGGACUUUCGGUACAGUUUAUGCGUUCGACCGACGCACAAACUGCGGGGGGAUGUUAACGUAUAACUUUGUAUAGAUCUCGCGUAUUCCGUUUGCAUACGGUUGUACAUAUACGCGUAUAGGGUUUAUUUCUUGGUCUCCAAGACUUGUAACACCAUUAUAAAUAUAUGAGUCGAUCGCCCCUUGAGAGGCGUCUUUUCCUCAAACUAUUUCACGUUUACAAAAACUAAUACGUGGUCAAAACCAAUCAAUUCAUGUAUUAAUUUAGUGAGUGGAUACGCAAACCGGGAUAAUCAUCGAUCCAUUUGACGGAUCUGAUUCCGCAUCUCUGUGGAGAUCGGCCGUGCUUGCCGCCAUCGCCGAUGAAAAAUUUCUCCUGAAUCCUGCUUGGAGUAGCAAUCGGUGUCUCCAUGCUCACAUGCUCGAUCCGGGCGAGUAGUACAUGCAUAAGAUGAGUAGAAGAUAUAUACAUGAUUAAAUCUGUGAUAAUAAUCACAAAAGACAACGAAGUUGAUUCUUCCAAAUCAAUUUCUUGUACGGAUGCAUGCAAACUGAUGCAUUGUCUGUCUUUUUGGUGAAUGGCCUGAGGCGCCGUUCCAAGUCUUGCCGUGAAGAGGGCAGUUACUAAUCAAUUGAUCGUGGAUGCCAACGCCCGUGUCCUGAUCUGUGCGUCUUCCUUGUUCAAGGAUUUCUUCCUGUUUCUGUCUGAGUAGGGAUCGAUCCAUCUCGCUAUCUCUUGGCGCCGCCGUGACUGAUGUCGCCAUCCGUGCCAAGACUUGAUGCUGCAGUCCGCCGCGCCGGAGAGCGCCGGUACCGCUGGGAAUCACGCGAGGCGUUGAGGAGGUUUGUGCAUGCACGCCUCGUUGAUGUGCCCGAGCGCCAGCCUAAUCGCCGAUAGAAUUGCUCCGCCGGGAGGCAUGGCUCCGCUGCAGAGUUCAUCCUUUUCGCUCUUCUUUUCCAGCGAGCCAUCGGCGACGUU